This 571-nucleotide ribosomal RNA is filed under the name Clostridioides difficile. Its description in RNAcentral is "bacterial LSU rRNA". It matches the Rfam family "Bacterial large subunit ribosomal RNA", at positions 771 to 1350 of the family's 2925-position model. Lineage: Bacteria; Bacillati; Bacillota; Clostridia; Peptostreptococcales; Peptostreptococcaceae. The record is from RNAcentral.
GGUCCGAACCCACGAGCGUUGAAAAGCUCGGGGAUGACUUGUGGGUAGCGGUGAAAUUCCAAUCGAGCCCGGAGAUAGCUGGUUCUCCCCGAAAUAGCUUUAGGGCUAGCCUCAAGGUGAGAGAUACGGAGGUAGAGCACUGAAUGUCCUAGGGGGUAUUGCACCUACCGAAGACUAUCAAACUCCGAAUGCCGUCAUCUUAUACUUGGGAGUCAGACUGUGGGUGAUAAGAUUCAUAGUCGAAAGGGCAACAGCCCAGAUCGUCAGCUAAGGUCCCUAAAUGUAAGUUAAGUGGUAAAGGAUGUGGGAUUGCACAGACAACCAGGAUGUUGGCUUAGAAGCAGCCACUCAUUCAAAGAGUGCGUAAUAGCUCACUGGUCGAGUGAUCCUGCGCCGAAGAUUUCCGGGGCUAAAACUUACUACCGAAGCUACGGCAUCAGUAAUGAUGGGUAGGGGAGCUUCCCAUACGGGUUGAAGCAUGACCGUAAGGACAUGUGGACAGUAUGGGAGUGAGAAUGUUGGCAUGAGUAGCGAGAUGUGGGUGAGAAUCCCACAGGCCGUAAACCCAAGG